CCUACGGGAGGCUGCAGUGAGGAAUAUUGGUCAAUGGUCGGGAGACUGAACCAGCCAAGCCGCGUGAGGGAUGAAGGUACAGAGUAUCGUAAACCUCUUUUGUCAGGGAACAAAGGCGGGGACGUGUCCCCGGAUGAGUGUACCUGAAGAAAAAGCAUCGGCUAACUCCGUGCCAGCAGCCGCGGUAAUACGGAGGAUGCGAGCGUUAUCCGGAUUUAUUGGGUUUAAAGGGUGCGCAGGCGGUCUGUUAAGUUAGCGGUAAAAGCCCGGUGCUCAACCCCGGCCCGCCGUUGAAACUGGCAGUCUCGAGUUGGAGAGAAGUAUGCGGAAUGCGCGGUGUAGCGGUGAAAUGCAUAGAUAUCGCGCAGAACGCCGAUUGCGAAGGCAGCAUGCCGGCUCCACACUGACGCUGAGGCACGAAAGCGUGGGUAUCGAACAGGAUUAGAUACCCCAGUAGUC
This 459-nucleotide ribosomal RNA is filed under the name uncultured bacterium. Its description in RNAcentral is "partial 16S ribosomal RNA". It matches the Rfam family "Bacterial small subunit ribosomal RNA", at positions 338 to 795 of the family's 1533-position model. The record is from RNAcentral.